RNAcentral lists this unclassified non-coding RNA (789 nucleotides) under Hevea brasiliensis (rubber tree). The record is from RNAcentral. Lineage: Eukaryota; Viridiplantae; Streptophyta; Magnoliopsida; Malpighiales; Euphorbiaceae.
AAUGCACCAACAUUUUUUCAUCAUUACAUUGCCCCAAGUUCGUGAAUGACAUCGUUGUCCCAGAUAUAUUUGAGGAAAUAUUCCCACAUGUGAUCCCAGACCAGGGUAUAGCAACUGAUGCAUUGUUUGAGAAGAAGCGCUCACACGCCCAAUUUUUCUUUACAUGAGGCACAGACCCAUCCUGGCUAGUAUAGUUCCAGAUAUAGACAUUAGAAUCCUCACUUGCUGAAAUAAUGUGCGUCCCAUCUGGUGUAAAAGAUGCAGAUAUUUGACUUCCUGCAUUAUGGAUCCCUCGAUAUUUGCAUAUCACAUCAACCCCAUUGAGGAUACGGACUUGUGAAUCAGCAGAAGUAACCAUUAAUCUGGUUGGAUCACUGGGGGAAAACUGAAAGCCAGUUAUCCUCUUGAAUGAUGACUUCUUCUUACCCUGUAAGCAUACUUGUGUACACAGCUGCAGACGAUUAUCAGUCGCAUCAUAAAAUCGACAAUUGCCAGUCAUGGAGCCAACAACUAUACCCUUUCCAUCAGAUCGAUAACAAACAGCUGUAACAAUUUCUGUAACAUCAGUCCAGUCAAUAACUUGACAACCAGGAAUUGCCCAGAUGCGUACUUUCCCAUCAAUGGAACCACUGAUGAAUGAAUCAUCAUCCAUGGGAUUAAACUGGACACAUGUAACAUAGUUAUUGUGGGAAAAGACUUCCAGGCAUUGAUUACAGCCCAAUUUCCACAACCGAACAGUCUUAUCAGUAGAAGAUGACAGGAGAUACUUAUUCUUUGACCAUGAAAGGU